GAAAUGCGAUACGUAAUGUGAAUUGCAAAUUCAGUGAAUCAUCGAGUCUUUGAACGCACAUUGCGCCCCCUGGUAUUCCGGGGGGCAUGCCUGUCCGAGCGUCAUUUCUGCCCUCAAGCACGGCUUGUGUGUUGGGCCCCGUCCUCCGAUCCCGGGGGACGGGCCCGAAAGGCAGCGGCGGCGCCGCGUCCGGUCCUCGAGCGUAUGGGGCUUUGUCACCCGCUCUGUAGGCCCGGCCGGCGCUUGCCGAUCAACCCAAAUUUUUAUCCAGGUUGACCUCGGAUCAGGUAGGGAUACCCGCUGAACUUAAGC
Molecule: unclassified non-coding RNA, 312 nt
Filed under: plant metagenome
Description: partial contains 5.8S ribosomal RNA, internal transcribed spacer 2, and large subunit ribosomal RNA
Rfam family: 5.8S ribosomal RNA (bases 1-104)
Source: RNAcentral